AUGCCAUGCCAAGUUUGCUUACAACACGACUGUCAUUGGCCUGAUCACCGAUGGCGACGAGACGACGUACAGAGAGGAGGUCAAAGCCCUGACAUCUUGGUGCCACCAUCCAGAGAGACGGAAGAGCAGAGAGACUUACAAGAGUGGCCUCCUCUCAAAUGCGACCAGUCUAUCAGGGCUUCACUCCACUAUCCAUGUCCCAAAGCCACUCUUCCAGACGCCGUAUGUCCGACCUGCCAGACACUCAACCUGCAGACGCACAGCGGCAUCUCUGACUGGACAUUCGCCUGCCUCUAAUGUGCCCUCAAGGAAAGAAAAAUCUCAUUCCACUGGCCUGCCUGCCUGCCCCAUUAUUCUCUCACCAUCUGUCUACUGGAGAGUAUUGUAUAAAUAAAUUAUUUAAACUUACUCCGUUUCCAGAGUCUAGUGCGCCUGGGUCUUCUCUGGACGUACCCAUAACACACCAAAGGCUAUUCACAUUUCUUAUCCUCUUGUGCGCAUGUCAAUACAUAUUUGUCCACUCAGAAAUAAGUAUCUCCUGAUUGAAAUAGCAUGUAGAAGUAAAACUGCAAGAUCAUUAACCAAACUUUAACAAGUGUGUUUGAAUAAAGUUAAUU
This 617-nucleotide long non-coding RNA is filed under the name Cottoperca gobio. Its description in RNAcentral is "lncRNA (ENSCGOG00000013122.1)". The record is from RNAcentral. Lineage: Eukaryota; Metazoa; Chordata; Actinopteri; Perciformes; Bovichtidae.